AACGAACGCUGGCGGCAUGCCUAACACAUGCAAGUCGAACGAGACCUUCGGGUCUAGUGGCGCACGGGUGCGUAACGCGUGGGAACCUGCCCUUAGGUUCGGAAUAACUCCCCGAGAGGGGUGCUACUACCGGAUAAUGUCUCCGGACCAAAGAUUCAUCGACUUUGGAUGGGCCCGCGUUGGAUUAGCUAGUUGGUAGGGUAAAUGCCUACCAAGGCGACGAUCCAUAGAUGGUCUGAGAGGAUGAGCAGCCACACUGGGACUGAGACACGGCCCAGACUUCUACGGGAGGCAGCAGUGGGGAAUAUUGGAAAAUGGGCGAAAGGCUGAUCCAGCAAUGCCGCGUGAGUGAUGAAGGCCUUAGGGUUGUAAAGCUCUUUUACCCGGGAUGAUAAUGACGGUACCGGGAGAAUAAGCUCCGGCUAACUCCGUG
RNAcentral lists this ribosomal RNA (433 nucleotides) under uncultured bacterium. RNAcentral's name for it is "partial 16S ribosomal RNA". It matches the Rfam family "Bacterial small subunit ribosomal RNA", at positions 29 to 507 of the family's 1533-position model. The record is from RNAcentral.